CGCUGGCGGCGUGCCUAACACAUGCAAGUCGAGCGGAGUCAGUAAGAGGAAGUUUCGGAUGGAAUCUUAUUGAUUUAGCGGCGGACGGGUGAGUAACGCGUGAGCGACCAACCUUGCACAGGGGGAUAACGGACCGAAAGGUUCACUAAUACCGCAUGAGACCACGGUGUUGCAUGACACAGGGGUCAAAGGAGCAAUCCGGUGCAAGACGGGCUCGCGUCCGAUUAGGUAGUUGGAGGGGUAACGGCCCACCAAGCCUAUGAUCGGUAGCCGACCUGAGAGGGUGAUCGGCCACAUUGGAACUGAGAUACGGUCCAAACUCCUACGGGAGGCAGCAGUGGGGAAUAUUGGGCAAUGGGGGGAAAAAACCCCCUGACCCAGCAACGCCGCGUGAAGGAAGAAGGUUUUCGGAUUGUAAACUUCUGUCCUUGGUGAAGAGAAGAAGACGGUAGCCAAGGAGGAAGCCCCGGCUAACUACGUGCCAGCAGCGGC
Molecule: ribosomal RNA, 492 nt
Filed under: uncultured bacterium
Lineage: Bacteria
Description: bacterial SSU rRNA
Rfam family: Bacterial small subunit ribosomal RNA
Source: RNAcentral